RNAcentral lists this ribosomal RNA (21 nucleotides) under Limnodrilus maumeensis. RNAcentral describes it as "partial 28S ribosomal RNA". The record is from RNAcentral. Lineage: Eukaryota; Metazoa; Annelida; Clitellata; Tubificida; Naididae. RNAcentral also lists the same sequence under 2 other names.
CGACCUGAGAUCAGACGAGAU